This is a long non-coding RNA of Thunnus maccoyii (southern bluefin tuna), 161 nucleotides long. RefSeq lists it as uncharacterized. The transcript has 2 exons. The record is from RefSeq and is a predicted model, not a curated record. NCBI's taxonomy places the organism in Eukaryota, Metazoa, Chordata, Actinopteri, Scombriformes, Scombridae.
AGGGAGAAGAUGAUCUGGAUCCUGCUGCUCCUCGUUCUGGCCUCCUCUGUCUGUGGGAUGUUUGUGGUGAAAAUGACUCCGACCUUCUAUCAGGCAGAGGAGAACGAUAACGUCACAAUAAAAUGGGACAGUCAGACCAAAACUGACAUGUCUCACACCAA